RNAcentral lists this transfer RNA (68 nucleotides) under Callimenellus fumidus. RNAcentral describes it as "tRNA-Met". Lineage: Eukaryota; Metazoa; Arthropoda; Insecta; Orthoptera; Tettigoniidae. The record is from RNAcentral.
AAAUAGGUAAGCUAAACCCCCAAGCUAAUGGGUUCAUACCCCAUAUAUAGGAAAAAUCCUCCUCUUUA